UCGUCACGUAGCUCACUGGCUUUCCCGCCCCCACAUAGGCACUCGUUAACGCUCAUGUAACUCUUUUAGUACAUUAGGUUGUUCAUUUACGACUGAAAUAUGUGUUUUAUUUCGUCAUUUUGGAAUUUCGGUUAGCAAGGCUACCGCUAGUUGUGAGCAGCUAGCUUGCUAGCUCACAUGGCUAAUCAAAAAGGUAUGAAACCAACAAUAAGGACAUGACGGUUGUAAGCAGGUCAAGUUAAGUAGCAGGCGGUCUCAGUGUCACAGUAAGCGUACGACCUCAAGUGGUCGUCAUGGCAAUCCCGACGACUGAUCG
This is a long non-coding RNA of Entelurus aequoreus (snake pipefish), 316 nucleotides long. RefSeq lists it as uncharacterized. Lineage: Eukaryota; Metazoa; Chordata; Actinopteri; Syngnathiformes; Syngnathidae. The transcript is spliced from 3 exons. The record is from RefSeq and is a predicted model, not a curated record.